Long non-coding RNA from Pomacea canaliculata, 645 nucleotides. RefSeq lists it as uncharacterized. The record is from RefSeq and is a predicted model, not a curated record. Lineage: Eukaryota; Metazoa; Mollusca; Gastropoda; Architaenioglossa; Ampullariidae. The transcript has 2 exons.
AAAUUUGUUUACCUUCUUAAUGAAAGCAGAUAUCUAUUCCCAACAGCUGUGUAAACAAAUGGAAGUACUGAGAGCCACACUUAUAUGUCACUGGCAUGCUUCUGGAGUCUGACAUUAUGUUAACGAUGUCUCGCCUUUGUUAAAACAGUAUUUCGACAACACUCUCGAGGAAUAAGAGACUGAUUUAAUGAUACACUUUUGGAAAAAAGAUGUAACGGGAUUCACUUAUUAUACUUUCUAACUUAGGAGGAGCGACUUCGCUGUAUGAUUCUUUACAAAUGGAAGAUGUGGGAAAGAGAUCACAGUAUGAAGAGGUGCAACGAUACCAGAACGCUUCAACAACAGCACCAUACGAAGUUGUAAGCGACAAUAAGCAAAAAGUGAGUGGCGACCGCACCUAUGUGAAUUAAGGAGAUGUUCUCUUCCACAACAUCUGACCAUCUGGUCUUGGAGGAAGAUUGAUGAUAGUGACGACAUAUUUGCUAAUUAUAAAAAAAGUAUUUAACAUUCAAGUAGAUCUUGAAAUAAUCGGUAAAAUAACCGAUGAUGAAAGACAUCUUAAAGAAAAGUUCAGUUUGUGUUUAUUUGUAAAUCCAUCUUCUUGGCUUACAAAACUUUGUAAUAAACACACCAUAUGUCUAUUAA